Molecule: ribosomal RNA, 464 nt
Filed under: uncultured bacterium
Lineage: Bacteria
Description: bacterial SSU rRNA
Rfam family: Bacterial small subunit ribosomal RNA
Source: RNAcentral
AGAGUUUGAUCCUGGCUCAGGACGAACGCUAGCGGUGUGCCUAAGAAAUGCAAGUCGAGCGAGGCCAAGGUGCUUGCACUGGAAGCCUAGCGGCGAACGGUCGCGUAACACGUAAGCAACCUGCCCUGAAGUGGGGGAUAGCCCGCCGAAAGGCGGAUUAAUACCGCAUGUGGACAUUUACUUGCAUGUGUAGAUGUCUAAAGCAGCAAUGCGCUUCAGGAUGGGCUUGCGGCCCAUCAGCUAGUUGGUGUGGGUAACGGCCCACCAAGGCGACGACGGGUAGCUGGUCUGUGAGGAUGGUCAGCCGGACUGGGACUGAGACACGGCCCAGACUCCUACGGGGGGCAGCAAUUAGGAAUCUUGCGCAAUGGGCGAAAGCCUGACGCAGCGACGCCGCGUGACUGAUGAAGUCUUUCGGGAUGUAAAAGUCUUUUCUGGGGGAAGAAGGAUGGANGGACCUCAGG